GGAUCCUGGUUGGUGCACCACAGGCAGCUGGCCAGGGUUUGCUGCGGGGGAGUCGGCCAGGAGCUCUGUUUAGGUGUCCAAUCACUCCAGAGGAGUACGACUGUGAAAGAGUGGACAUUGACGGAAGCGUGAGUCUGGACAGAGAGAGCAAAGACAACCAGUGGCUGGGUGUUACUGUCAAGAGUCAGGGGAUCGGAGGAAAGGUGGUGACCUGCGCUCACUUAUAUGAGCUCAGGCAACGUGUGAAUCAACCCUCGGAGACUCGCGAUCCCAUCGGACGCUGCUAUGUCCUAAGCGAGGACCUGACAGAGCGAGAUGACCUGGAUGGAGGGGAGUGGAAAUUCUGCGAGGGUCGACCGCAGGGACACGAACAGUUUGGCUUCUGUCAGCAGGGCCUUUCUGUCAGCUUCACCCCAGACAACAGCUUUAUUCUGUUUGGAGCUCCGGGGACAUACAACUGGAAAGGUAAUAAAUCUCAACAUGACACAAGUCCACGGUUUCCGCUCUGUUUUCUGUCUUCUUUGCAAAGAACUGU
Long non-coding RNA from Cynoglossus semilaevis (tongue sole), 535 nucleotides. RefSeq lists it as uncharacterized. NCBI's taxonomy places the organism in Eukaryota, Metazoa, Chordata, Actinopteri, Pleuronectiformes, Cynoglossidae. The record is from RefSeq and is a predicted model, not a curated record. The transcript has 3 exons.